Callithrix jacchus (white-tufted-ear marmoset) is the source of this 304-nucleotide unclassified non-coding RNA. It matches the Rfam family "Metazoan signal recognition particle RNA". Rfam says of the family: The signal recognition particle (SRP) is a universally conserved ribonucleoprotein. It is involved in the co-translational targeting of proteins to membranes. The eukaryotic SRP consists of a 300-nucleotide 7S RNA and six proteins: SRPs 72, 68, 54, 19, 14, and 9. Lineage: Eukaryota; Metazoa; Chordata; Mammalia; Primates; Cebidae. The record is from Ensembl.
GCCUGGCACAGUGGCACAUGCCUGUAGUCCCAGCUACUCGGGAGUCUGAGGUGGGAGGAUCACUUGAGCCCAGGAUUUCUGGGCUGUAGUGUGUGUGCUAUGCCAAUCGGGUGUGUGCACUAAGUUCGGCAUCAAUAUGGUGACCUCCCAGGAGUGGGGGACCACCAGCUUGCCUAAGGAGGGGUGAACCGGCCCAGGUCAGAAAUGGAGCAGGUCAAAACCCCAGUGCUGAUCAGUAGUGGGAUUGUACCUGUGAAUAGUCACUGAGCUCCAGCCUGGGCAACAUAGCAAGACCACGUCUCUU